Molecule: non-coding RNA, 125 nt
Organism: Triticum aestivum (bread wheat)
Lineage: Eukaryota; Viridiplantae; Streptophyta; Magnoliopsida; Poales; Poaceae
Source: Rfam
GAUGUACUCCCUCCGUCCGGAAUUACUUGUCGUCGAAAUGGAUAAAAAUGAAUGUAUUUAAAACUAAAACAUGUCUACAUACAUCCAUUUUUUUGACAAAUAUUUCCGGACGGAGGGAGUACUUC